This 497-nucleotide ribosomal RNA is filed under the name uncultured bacterium. Its description in RNAcentral is "bacterial SSU rRNA". It matches the Rfam family "Bacterial small subunit ribosomal RNA", at positions 29 to 509 of the family's 1533-position model. The record is from RNAcentral.
AACUAACGCUGGCGGCGUGCCUAACACAUGCAAGUCGUACGAGAAAGCCGGCUUCGGCUGGUGAGUAAAGUGGCGCACGGGUGAGUAACGCGUGGAUAAUCUGCCCUUAAGUGUGGAAUAACGUACCGAAAGGUGCGCUAAUACCGCAUAAUGCCUGGCAACACAAGUUGUCCGGCCAAAGAAGGCCUCUGUUUACAAGCUUUCGCUUCAGGAUGAGUCCGCGUACCAUUAGCUUGUUGGUGGGGUAAUGGCCUACCAAAGCUGCGAUGGUUAGCUGGUCUGAGAGGAUGAUCAGCCACACUGGAACUGAGACACGGUCCAGACUCCUACGGGAGGCAGCAGUAAGGAAUAUUGGGCAAUGGUCGAAAGACUGACCCAGCCAUGCCGCGUGCAGGAUGAAGGCCCUAUGGGUUGUAAACUGCUUUUAGCCGGGAAUAAACACCGUUUAUAACGGGCCCGAAGGUACCGGCUGAAUAAGCAUCGGCUAACUCCGUGCC